Molecule: ribosomal RNA, 465 nt
Filed under: Vreelandella stevensii
Lineage: Bacteria; Pseudomonadati; Pseudomonadota; Gammaproteobacteria; Oceanospirillales; Halomonadaceae
Description: partial 16S ribosomal RNA
Rfam family: Bacterial small subunit ribosomal RNA
Source: RNAcentral
CCUACGGGAGGCAGCAGUGGGGAAUAUUGGACAAUGGGGGGAACCCUGAUCCAGCCAUGCCGCGUGUGUGAAGAAGGCCCUCGGGUUGUAAAGCACUUUCAGUGAGGAAGAACGCCUGGUGGUUAAUACCCAUCAGGAAAGACAUCACUCACAGAAGAAGCACCGGCUAACUCCGUGCCAGCAGCCGCGGUAAUACGGAGGGUGCGAGCGUUAAUCGGAAUUACUGGGCGUAAAGCGCGCGUAGGUGGCUUGAUAAGCCGGUUGUGAAAGCCCCGGGCUCAACCUGGGAACGGCAUCCGGAACUGUCAAGCUAAAGUGCAGGAGAGGAAGGUAGAAUUCCCGGUGUAGCGGUGAAAUGCGUAGAGAUCGGGAGGAAUACCAGUGGCGAAGGCGGCCUUCUGGACUGACACUGACACUGAGGUGCGAAAGCGUGGGUAGCAAACAGGAUUAGAUACCCGAGUAGUC